GACAGAGGGGGCAAGCGUUGCUCGGAAUCACUGGGCGUAAAGGGCGCGUAGGCGGGAUGGCAAGUCGGUCGUGAAAUCCUUCGGCUCAACCGAAGAACGUCGGCCGAUACUGCCGUUCUUGAGGGAUGCAGAGGAGAUUGGAAUUCCCGGUGUAGCGGUGAAAUGUGUAGAGAUCGGGAGGAACACCGGUGGCGAAGGCGGUUUCCUGGCCCAGUACUGACGCUGAGGCACGAAAGCGUGGGGAGCGAACGGG
This 253-nucleotide ribosomal RNA is filed under the name uncultured bacterium. RNAcentral's name for it is "partial 16S ribosomal RNA". It matches the Rfam family "Bacterial small subunit ribosomal RNA", at positions 524 to 776 of the family's 1533-position model. The record is from RNAcentral.